RNAcentral lists this unclassified non-coding RNA (250 nucleotides) under plant metagenome. RNAcentral's name for it is "partial contains small subunit ribosomal RNA, internal transcribed spacer 1, and 5.8S ribosomal RNA". The record is from RNAcentral.
GUAGGUGAACCUGCGGAAGGAUCAUUAUCACAUGAAUCCAUGUAAAAACCAUUGUGCAUUGUCACCCCCUCUAGAUUUGAAAUCGGAAACGAAGAAAGCGUUAUUACGGUCACUAUUGUAAUUUGAAGACCCAGCUUUUUUCCAGGAUUCGCCCGCUGAUUUCUACCUAUAUCUAGAGUGUAAUUCAAAUUUACAUAACUUAUUGAUUAACAAUUGAAACCCCUUUUAAACUUUUGAACUAAUGUUUUCA